RNAcentral lists this ribosomal RNA (397 nucleotides) under uncultured bacterium. RNAcentral's name for it is "bacterial SSU rRNA". It matches the Rfam family "Bacterial small subunit ribosomal RNA", at positions 29 to 419 of the family's 1533-position model. The record is from RNAcentral.
AGUGAACGCUGGCGGCGUGCUUAACACAUGCAAGUCGAGCGAAUUCUAACAGUGUAUCGUUAGAGUUAGCGGCAGACGGGUGAGUAAUUCUUGGGCAAUCUGCCCUCGAGAGGGAAACAACCUGCCGAAAGGUAGGCUAAUGUUCCAUAAGACCACGGGGUCGCAUGAUCCAGAGGUCAAAGCUCCGCAAGGGGCACUUGAGGAGGAGCCCGAGACCUAUCAGGUAGUUGGUGAGGUAACGGCUCACCAAGCCUUUGACGGGUAGCCGGCCUGAAAGGGUGAUCGGCCACACUGGCACUGAGACACGGGCCAGACUCCUACGGGAGGCAGCAGUGGGAAUUUUGGACAAUGGGGGCAACCCUGAUCCAGCGACGCCGCGUGGAGGAUGAAGGUCUUC